This 1015-nucleotide ribosomal RNA is filed under the name Vibrio parahaemolyticus. RNAcentral describes it as "bacterial SSU rRNA". It matches the Rfam family "Bacterial small subunit ribosomal RNA", at positions 528 to 1533 of the family's 1533-position model. The record is from RNAcentral. Lineage: Bacteria; Pseudomonadati; Pseudomonadota; Gammaproteobacteria; Vibrionales; Vibrionaceae.
GAGGGUGCGAGCGUUAAUCGGAAUUACUGGGCGUAAAGCGCAUGCAGGUGGUUUGUUAAGUCAGAUGUGAAAGCCCGGGGCUCAACCUCGGAAUUGCAUUUGAAACUGGCAGACUAGAGUACUGUAGAGGGGGGUAGAAUUUCAGGUGUAGCGGUGAAAUGCGUAGAGAUCUGAAGGAAUACCGGUGGCGAAGGCGGCCCCCUGGACAGAUACUGACACUCAGAUGCGAAAGCGUGGGGAGCAAACAGGAUUAGAUACCCUGGUAGUCCACGCCGUAAACGAUGUCUACUUGGAGGUUGUGGCCUUGAGCCGUGGCUUUCGGAGCUAACGCGUUAAGUAGACCGCCUGGGGAGUACGGUCGCAAGAUUAAAACUCAAAUGAAUUGACGGGGGCCCGCACAAGCGGUGGAGCAUGUGGUUUAAUUCGAUGCAACGCGAAGAACCUUACCUACUCUUGACAUCCAGAGAACUUUCCAGAGAUGGAUUGGUGCCUUCGGGAACUCUGAGACAGGUGCUGCAUGGCUGUCGUCAGCUCGUGUUGUGAAAUGUUGGGUUAAGUCCCGCAACGAGCGCAACCCUUAUCCUUGUUUGCCAGCGAGUAAUGUCGGGAACUCCAGGGAGACUGCCGGUGAUAAACCGGAGGAAGGUGGGGACGACGUCAAGUCAUCAUGGCCCUUACGAGUAGGGCUACACACGUGCUACAAUGGCGCAUACAGAGGGCGGCCAACUUGCGAAAGUGAGCGAAUCCCAAAAAGUGCGUCGUAGUCCGGAUUGGAGUCUGCAACUCGACUCCAUGAAGUCGGAAUCGCUAGUAAUCGUGGAUCAGAAUGCCACGGUGAAUACGUUCCCGGGCCUUGUACACACCGCCCGUCACACCAUGGGAGUGGGCUGCAAAAGAAGUAGGUAGUUUAACCUUCGGGGGGACGCUUACCACUUUGUGGUUCAUGACUGGGGUGAAGUCGUAACAAGGUAGCGCUAGGGGAACCUGGCGCUGGAUCACCUCCUUAAACGAUGAU